Molecule: microRNA, 21 nt
Filed under: Oryza sativa (Asian cultivated rice)
Lineage: Eukaryota; Viridiplantae; Streptophyta; Magnoliopsida; Poales; Poaceae
Description: osa-miR5495
Source: miRBase by way of RNAcentral
AGAGGUCCGGAUCGAACGUAG